Molecule: ribosomal RNA, 259 nt
Filed under: uncultured Leptotrichia sp.
Lineage: Bacteria; Fusobacteriati; Fusobacteriota; Fusobacteriia; Fusobacteriales; Leptotrichiaceae
Description: partial 16S ribosomal RNA
Rfam family: Bacterial small subunit ribosomal RNA
Source: RNAcentral
UGGCGGACGGGUGAGUAACGCGUAAAGAACUUGCCCUUUAGACUGGGAUAACAGAGGGAAACUUCUGAUAAUACUGGAUAAGUUAGUAUAUCGCAUGAUAUGCAAAUGAAAGCUACGGCACUAAAGGAGAGCUUUGCGUCCUAUUAGCUAGUUGGUAAGGUAAGAGCUUACCAAGGCGAUGAUAGGUAGCCGGCCUGAGAGGGUGGACGGCCACAAGGGGACUGAGAUACGGCCCUUACUCCUACGGGAGGCAGCAGGC